UUAGGAUUCGACAGGGUUAUCGAAGCGUCUAGUGCACGUCGGAGGGUUGUCUUCGUACCAACACAUUCAGUUAUAAUAACUGGCAAACAAAACAAUUUCGCAGUAGCUGCCUAAUCGCACUCUGCACCUCCUCUCUUUAUCGCCUAUGUAAAGUGAUGCGAGGUUCAACCUAAGUAGGAUACGCUAAACACUGCCGUCUUAAGUCGUUUAGAAGAGAUGAAUAAGACUCGCCACAUGUUGGAGUGUCGUAUGAUCAAUCAUGUGGUUAAACUUAACCAUACGACUAAGCGUGUAGUACUAGACGUGUAGAAGCUCUGGACGCGG
RNAcentral lists this transfer-messenger RNA (324 nucleotides) under Abyssicoccus albus. It matches the Rfam family "transfer-messenger RNA". Rfam says of the family: Bacterial tmRNA, also known as 10Sa RNA or SsrA, is named for its dual tRNA and mRNA-like properties. Its role is to liberate the mRNA from a stalled ribosome. The record is from RNAcentral. Lineage: Bacteria; Bacillati; Bacillota; Bacilli; Caryophanales; Abyssicoccaceae.